Molecule: ribosomal RNA, 253 nt
Filed under: uncultured bacterium
Lineage: Bacteria
Description: partial 16S ribosomal RNA
Rfam family: Bacterial small subunit ribosomal RNA
Source: RNAcentral
UACGUAGGGGCCUAGCGUUGUCCGGAUUUAUUGGGCGUAAAGAGCUCGUAGGCGGCUUGUCGCGUCGACUGUGAAAUCCCGCGGCUCAACUGCGGGUCUGCAGUCGAUACGGGCAGGCUAGAGUUCGGUAGGGGAGACUGGAAUUCCUGGUGUAGCGGUGAAAUGCGCAGAUAUCAGGAGGAACACCGAUGGCGAAGGCAGGUCUCUGGGCCGAUACUGACGCUGAGGAGCGAAAGCGUGGGGAGCGAACAGG